This 252-nucleotide ribosomal RNA is filed under the name uncultured bacterium. RNAcentral's name for it is "partial 16S ribosomal RNA". It matches the Rfam family "Bacterial small subunit ribosomal RNA", at positions 524 to 776 of the family's 1533-position model. The record is from RNAcentral.
GACGAAGGGGGCUAGCGUUGUUCGGAAUUACUGGGCGUAAAGCGCGUGUAGGCGGUUGUUCAAGUCAGGUGUGAAAGCCUUGAGCUCAACUCAAGAAAUGCACUUGAUACUGGAUGACUAGAGGACCGGAGAGGAUAGUGGAAUUCCCAGUGUAGUGGUGAAAUACGUAGAGAUUGGGAAGAACCCAGUGGCGAAGGCGGCUAUCUGGACGGUUUCUGACGCUAAGACGCGAAAGCGUGGGGAGCAAACAGG